Molecule: ribosomal RNA, 484 nt
Filed under: uncultured bacterium
Lineage: Bacteria
Description: partial 16S ribosomal RNA
Rfam family: Bacterial small subunit ribosomal RNA
Source: RNAcentral
AUUGAACGCUGGCGGCAGGCCUAACACAUGCAAGUCGAGCGGAUGAAGGGAGCUUGCUCCUGGAUUCAGCGGCGGACGGGUGAGUAAUGCCUAGGAAUCUGCCUGGUAGUGGGGGAUAACGUCCGGAAACGGGCGCUAAUACCGCAUACGUCCUGAGGGAGAAAGUGGGGGAUCUUCGGACCUCACGCUAUUAGAUGAGCCUAGGUCGGAUUAGCUAGUUGGUGGGGUAAAGGCCCACCAAGGCGACGAUCCGUAACUGGUCUGAGAGGAUGAUCAGUCACACUGGAACUGAGACACGGUCCAGACUCCUACGGGAGGCAGCAGUGGGGAAUAUUGGACAAUGGGCGAAAGCCUGAUCCAGCCAUGCCGCGUGUGUGAAGAAGGUCUUCGGAUUGUAAAGCACUUUAAGUUGGGAGGAAGGGCAGUAAGUUAAUACCUUGCUGUUUUGACGUUACCAACAGAAUAAGCACCGGCUAACUUCGUG